GCUAGUGUAGCUUAAACAAAGCAUGACACUGAAGAUGUUAAGAUGAACCCUAAAAAGUUCCAUAAGCA
RNAcentral lists this transfer RNA (68 nucleotides) under Chilodus punctatus (spotted headstander). RNAcentral's name for it is "tRNA-Phe". It matches the Rfam family "tRNA". From Rfam's summary of the family: Transfer RNA (tRNA) molecules are approximately 80 nucleotides in length. Their secondary structure includes four short double-helical elements and three loops (D, anti-codon, and T loops). Further hydrogen bonds mediate the characteristic L-shaped molecular structure. tRNAs have two regions of fundamental functional importance: the anti-codon, which is responsible for specific mRNA codon recognition, and the 3' end, to which the tRNAs corresponding amino acid is attached (by aminoacyl-tRNA synthetases). tRNAs cope with the degeneracy of the genetic code in two manners: having more than one tRNA (with a specific anti-codon) for a particular amino acid; and 'wobble' base-pairing, i.e. permitting non-standard base-pairing at the 3rd anti-codon position. The record is from RNAcentral. Lineage: Eukaryota; Metazoa; Chordata; Actinopteri; Characiformes; Chilodontidae.